UGACGGCUUAACCGUCAGGCGUGCAGGGGAAACUACAAGUCUAGGGACCGGGAAGGGCCAAAGAUACUCUAGGGGUAGGGGUGAAAUCCAAUAAUCCUUAGGGGAUCGCCAGUGGCGAAGGCGUUUGGCUAGAACGGGUCCGACGGUGAGGGACGAAAGCUAGGGGAGCGAACGGGAUUAGAUACCCCGGUAGUCCUAGCUGUAAAUGAUGCAAAUUAGGUGUUGCGCACUCUUCGUGAGUAUGCAGUGCCGAAGGGAAGCCGUUAAAUUUGCCACCUGGGAAGUACGGUCGCAAGGCUGAAACUUAAAGGAAUUGACGGGGGAGCACAACAAGGGGUGGAGCUUGCGGUUUAAUUGGAUAAUACUCCGGAAAUCUCACCAGGAGCGACAGCAGUAUGAAAGCCAGGUUGACGAUCUUGCUAGACUUGCUGAGAGGUGGUGCAUGGCCGCCGUCAGUUCGUGCCGUAAGGUGUGCUGUUAAGUCAGUUAACGAACAAGACCUAUAUCUACAGUUGCUAGCGAGUCUUCCGAGAUGAUCGAGCACACUGUUGAGACUGCCCGCGUAAGUGGGAGGAAGGUGUAGGCAACGGUAGGUCUGUAUGG
Molecule: ribosomal RNA, 603 nt
Filed under: Nitrospinaceae bacterium
Lineage: Bacteria; Pseudomonadati; Nitrospinota; Nitrospinia; Nitrospinales; Nitrospinaceae
Description: bacterial SSU rRNA
Rfam family: Archaeal small subunit ribosomal RNA
Source: RNAcentral